Molecule: ribosomal RNA, 253 nt
Filed under: uncultured bacterium
Lineage: Bacteria
Description: partial 16S ribosomal RNA
Rfam family: Bacterial small subunit ribosomal RNA
Source: RNAcentral
GACAGAGGGUGCAAACGUUGUUCGGAAUUACUGGGCGUAAAGCGCAUGUAGGCGGUUCGUAAAGUCGGAUGUGAAAGCCCUGGGCUUAACCCAGGAAGUGCAUUUGAAACUCACGAACUUGAGUCCCGGAGAGGAAGGCGGAAUUCUCGGUGUAGAGGUGAAAUUCGUAGAUAUCGAGAGGAACAUCGGUGGCGAAGGCGGCCUUCUGGACGGUGACUGACGCUGAGAUGCGAAAGCGUGGGGAGCAAACAGG